Molecule: ribosomal RNA, 429 nt
Filed under: bacterium
Lineage: Bacteria
Description: partial 16S ribosomal RNA
Rfam family: Bacterial small subunit ribosomal RNA
Source: RNAcentral
UAGGGAAUCUUCCACAAUGGACGCAAGUCUGAUGGAGCAACGCCGCGUGAGUGAAGAAGGUUUUCGGAUCGUAAAGCUCUGUUGUUGGUGAAGAAGGAUAGAGGCAGUAACUGGUCUUUAUUUGACGGUAAUCAACCAGAAAGUCACGGCUAACUACGUGCCAGCAGCCGCGGUAAUACGUAGGUGGCAAGCGUUGUCCGGAUUUAUUGGGCGGAAAGCGAGCGCAGGCGGAAUGAUAAGUCUGAUGUGAAAGCCCACGGCUCAACCGUGGAACUGCAUCGGAAACUGUCAUUCUUGAGUGCAGAAGAGGGGAGUGGAAUUCCAUGUGUAGCGGUGGAAUGCGUAGAUAUAUGGAAGAACACCAGUGGCGAAGGCGGCUCUCUGGUCUGCAACUGACGCUGAGGCUCGAAAGCAUGGGUAGCGAACAGG